CUACGUGCCAGCAGCCGCGGUAAUACGGAGGAUGCGAGCGUUAUCCGGAAUCAUUGGGUUUAAAGGGUCCGUAGGCGGGCUGAUAAGUCAGAGGUGAAAGCGCUUAGCUCAACUAAGCAACUGCCUUUGAAACUGUCAGUCUUGAAUGAUUGUGAAGUAGUUGGAAUGUGUAGUGUAGCGGUGAAAUGCUUAGAUAUUACACAGAACACCGAUAGCGAAGGCAUAUUACUAACAAUUUAUUGACGCUGAGAAGCGAAAGCAUGGGGAGCGAACAGGAUUAGAUACCCUGGUAGUCCAUGCCGUAAACGAUGUCGAUUUGGGGGUUGAACUUUAAGUUUGGCGCCCGUAGCUAACGUGAUAAAUCGACCGCCUGGGGAGUACGGCCGCAAGGUUAAAACUCAAAUGAAUUGACGGGGGCCCGCACAAGCGGUGGAGCAUGUGGUUUAAUUCGAAGCAACGCGAAGAACCUUACCAGGUCUUGACAUCCCUCUGACCGCUCUAGAGAUAGAGCUUUC
This 515-nucleotide ribosomal RNA is filed under the name uncultured bacterium. RNAcentral describes it as "bacterial SSU rRNA". It matches the Rfam family "Bacterial small subunit ribosomal RNA", at positions 501 to 1016 of the family's 1533-position model. The record is from RNAcentral.